GUGGGGAAUAUUGGACAAUGGGCGAAAGCCUGAUCCAGCCAUGCCGCGUGUGUGAAGAAGGUCUUCGGAUUGUAAAGCACUUUAAGUUGGGGGGAAGGGCAGUAAGUUAAUACCUUGCUGUUUUGACGUUACCGACAGAAUAAGCACCGGCUAACUUCGUGCCAGCAGCCGCGGUAAUACGAAGGGUGCAAGCGUUAAUCGGAAUUACUGGGCGUAAAGCGCGCGUAGGUGGUUUUGUAAGUUGGAGGUGAAAUCCCCGGGCUCAACCUGGGAACUGCCUCCAAAACUGCAUGACUAGAGUACGGUAGAGGGUAGUGGAAUGUCCUGUGUAGCGGUGAAAUGCGUAGAUAUAGGAAGGAACACCAGUGGCGAAGGCGACUACCUGGACUGAUACUGACACUGAGGUGCGAAAGCGUGGGGAGCAAACAGGAUUAGAUACCCGGGUAGUCC
This 450-nucleotide ribosomal RNA is filed under the name uncultured bacterium. RNAcentral describes it as "partial 16S ribosomal RNA". It matches the Rfam family "Bacterial small subunit ribosomal RNA", at positions 354 to 796 of the family's 1533-position model. The record is from RNAcentral.